AUGAGGAUGAGGAGGAGGACGAGAGGAGGGCUCCGGAGAGGCGGCCCAGGCAGGUCGAGCUGCCCCUACCUCGACACUGUCAACCGACUAGCUUCGAUCUACCAUGUCCUUAGCGGCAGCAACAGAACAGAAUGUCUGAAGAAGCAUCUGCCAGUAUCAGUGCCAGAGGGACUGAACGAACUUCAAAUCAUCGUUGUGCGAUUCAAAGAGAAGAUUUAUACUACAGCGACCAGUCAGCUGAAGCACCUGCUCGAGCAUGCUAAAUUGCUAAUCAGCCAGAACUAUUGGUUGCAAGCCACCAUUAGUAAUUUGGUCCCAGGCGGUGGUCAUUGCGAUGACACACAUCAGGUCAGCUAA
This 357-nucleotide ribosomal RNA is filed under the name Triticum aestivum (bread wheat). RNAcentral describes it as "partial small subunit ribosomal RNA". Lineage: Eukaryota; Viridiplantae; Streptophyta; Magnoliopsida; Poales; Poaceae. The record is from RNAcentral.